GUGCACCAGGCGCGAAAACUCCGCAAUGCGCGAAAGCGUGACGGGGGAACCCCAAGUGCCGUUGGUCUUCUGAUCGACGGCUUUUGUGGAGUCUAGGAAGCUCCACGAAUAAGGGCUGGGUAAGUCGGGUGCCAGCCGCCGCGGUAAUACCCGCAGCCCAAGUGGUGGUCGCGAUUAUUGGGCCUAAAGCGCUCGUAGCCGGACUAGCAAGUCCCUUGUGAAAUCGGGCGGCCUAACCGUUCGGCUUGCAAGGGAUACUGCUGGCCUUGAGGCCGGGAGACGCCGAGGGUACUCUGGGGGUAGCGGUGAAAUGCUGUAAUCCUCGGGGGACCACCGGUGGCGAAGGCGUCCCACUGGAACGGCCCUGACGGUGAGGAACGAAACCUAGGGGAGCGAGCCGGAUUAGAUACCCGGGUAGUCC
This 421-nucleotide ribosomal RNA is filed under the name uncultured Methanobacteriales archaeon. RNAcentral's name for it is "partial 16S ribosomal RNA". It matches the Rfam family "Archaeal small subunit ribosomal RNA", at positions 330 to 747 of the family's 1478-position model. Lineage: Archaea; Methanobacteriati; Methanobacteriota; Methanobacteria; Methanobacteriales. The record is from RNAcentral.